RNAcentral lists this ribosomal RNA (1284 nucleotides) under Triticum aestivum (bread wheat). RNAcentral describes it as "partial small subunit ribosomal RNA". Lineage: Eukaryota; Viridiplantae; Streptophyta; Magnoliopsida; Poales; Poaceae. The record is from RNAcentral.
AUGGAUCUUGCAAGGAAAAUCGACCACAUUCUCAAAAACCACUCAGGCAUUGGCGUUAAGGCACUCAAGCUUGAAAUAUGUGGUUUCCCCUUUUUCAACAACUCUUGCGAUCUCGAUCGAUGGCUUCACAUUGCUGUCAAACCAGGGAUUGAAGAACUUGACAUGAAGCUUUUAUCAACUUAUGUAGCUCUUUGUCGAAAAAAAUCUCAUGCAACUAUUUGUCGAAAGAUAUCUGAGGCGGCUUUUUGUCGAAAAAAAUCCCAUACAAAUGUGUACAACUUUCCAUUCUCACUUUUAGAUGGGAGUGGCAAGUCGAUCCAGCAGCUUCAUCUCUACAAUUGCGCCCUCCGCCCCACAACAGGACUUGGCCACUUAAGAAGCCUGACUAGACUCGAAUUGUUUCGUGUGAGUAUUACAGAAGAUGAGUUAAGGUGCCUUUUUUCCAGUUCAAUUGCUUUGGAGAAACUGGUACUCAGGUCCUGCAAUGAAUUAUCUUUCUUGGAGAUACCUAGCCUGUUGCAGCAGCUUAACCACCUGGUUGUCAUGGAUUGUGGAAAUCUGGAAGUGAUAAAGAGCAAAGCCCCUAAUCUAUACAUUUUUCAUUAUGGUGGUACCCUAAUACCGCUAUCACUUGGUGAUUCAUUGCAGAACCUAUACAUUGAUGCUUUAUUAGGUCGCCAAGAUGUUGUUCCUUAUCCUUGGGCCGAUCUUCUGCGCAUGGUGCCACAUCUUGAAGAUCUCCAAAUAUCUUCGUAUUGUGCGAGGGAUACACUGGUGGUGCCUGGCAAAUUCCUCCACCUCCAAUGCCUAUGUAUUGGGGCUUUUAACCCAGACUAUGAUUAUUUGUCUCUGGUUUCUUUUCUCGAUGCGUGUCCUUCCUUGGAGACUUUCAUUUUAUCUGUAGAUGCGGAUCGCGUGAGGCAAGAAUCGGUUUUAGCAGAAUCUUCGCAUGAUCUAAGGCAGAUGCCAGGACACGUGCAUAGGAACAUAAAGGAUGUGUUUAUCAUUGGCUUUUGUUCAGCGAAGAGCAUGGUUGAGUUAACAUGCCAUAUGCUUGAGAAUGCGAAGUCGCUUGAGUACCUUACACUGAACACCUCUUCGAACCCUGAAAUUUCGUGCUCUGAUAGUGAAAAUGGUAGAUGCCUCCCGAUGAGCAAGCAUAUGAGGAAGGAAGCCCGCAAAGCGCUCUUGGCCGUGGAAAGAUACAUUUUGGGGAAAGUUCCCUGUAGUGUGGAGUUAGAAGUUGUGAAGCCUUGCAGCCGGUGCAAUACUCUUGAAAUUUAG